This 75-nucleotide transfer RNA is filed under the name Salmonella enterica subsp. enterica serovar Paratyphi A. Its description in RNAcentral is "tRNA-Pseudo". Lineage: Bacteria; Pseudomonadati; Pseudomonadota; Gammaproteobacteria; Enterobacterales; Enterobacteriaceae. The record is from RNAcentral.
GUGAAGUGCCUCAGCUGGGAGAGCAUCUCCCUUACAAGGAGGGGGUCGGCGGUUCGAUCCCGUCAUCACCCACCA